UGAGGAAUAUUGGUCAAUGGACGAGAGUCUGAACCAGCCAAGUAGCGUGCAGGAUGACGGCCCUAUGGGUUGUAAACUGCUUUUGUUUGGGAAUAAUCGACAUUACGUGUAAUGUUUUGCAUGUACUAUUCGAAUAAGGACCGGCUAAUUCCGUGCCAGCAGCCGCGGUAAUACGGAAGGUCCAGGCGUUAUCCGGAUUUAUUGGGUUUAAAGGGAGCGUAGGCGGUUGGUUAAGCGUGUUGUGAAAUGUAGAUGCUCAACAUCUGACUUGCAGCGCGAACUGGCUGACUUGAGUACACACAACGUAGGCGGAAUUCAUGGUGUAGCGGUGAAAUGCUUAGAUAUCAUGAAGAACUCCGAUUGCGAAGGCAGCUUACGGGAGUGUUACUGACGCUUAAGCUCGAAGGUGCGGGUAUCGAACAGG
RNAcentral lists this ribosomal RNA (424 nucleotides) under Verrucomicrobiota bacterium. Its description in RNAcentral is "Verrucomicrobia bacterium partial 16S ribosomal RNA". It matches the Rfam family "Bacterial small subunit ribosomal RNA", at positions 355 to 776 of the family's 1533-position model. The record is from RNAcentral. Lineage: Bacteria; Pseudomonadati; Verrucomicrobiota.